Molecule: transfer RNA, 73 nt
Filed under: Trichonephila inaurata madagascariensis
Lineage: Eukaryota; Metazoa; Arthropoda; Arachnida; Araneae; Nephilidae
Rfam family: tRNA
About the family: Transfer RNA (tRNA) molecules are approximately 80 nucleotides in length. Their secondary structure includes four short double-helical elements and three loops (D, anti-codon, and T loops).
Source: Rfam by way of RNAcentral
GUCCCUGUAGCGCAAUGGAUAGCGUGUCGGACUUCUAAUCCAAAGGUCGUGGGUUCGAAUCCCACCAGGGGUG